RNAcentral lists this ribosomal RNA (207 nucleotides) under uncultured bacterium. RNAcentral's name for it is "partial 16S ribosomal RNA". It matches the Rfam family "Bacterial small subunit ribosomal RNA", at positions 568 to 774 of the family's 1533-position model. The record is from RNAcentral.
UGCGUAGGCGGCGGGGAAAGUCAGAUGUGAAAUCCGGAGGCUCAACCUCCGAAUUGCAUCCGAUACUCCCUCGCUAGAGAUUUGUAGAGGAGCUUGGAAUUCUCGGUGUAGCAGUGAAAUGCGUAGAUAUCGAGAAGAACGCUCGCAGCAAAGGCGAAGCUCUGGGCAAAUUCUGACGCUGAUGCACGAAGGCUAGGGGAGCAAACG